This 253-nucleotide ribosomal RNA is filed under the name uncultured bacterium. Its description in RNAcentral is "partial 16S ribosomal RNA". It matches the Rfam family "Bacterial small subunit ribosomal RNA", at positions 524 to 776 of the family's 1533-position model. The record is from RNAcentral.
UACGUAGGGUGCGAGCGUUAAUCGGAAUUACCGGGCGUAAAGCGUGCGCAGGCGGUUUUGCAAGCCGGAUGUGAAAUCCCCGGGCUCAACCUGGGAAUGGCAUUUGGGACUGCAAGGCUCGAGUGCGGCAGAGGAGACUGGAAUUCCUGGUGUAGCAGUGAAAUGCGUAGAUAUCAGGAGGAAUACCGAUGGCGAAGGCAGGUCUCUGGGCUGACACUGACGCUCAUGCACGAAAGCGUGGGGAGCAAACAGG